GAAGGAAAUUUUUUCAAAAAAAAAUUUCCUUUCUAUAGUAACGGUCUGCUCAUAUUAAAAAGAACGAACAACACCUAAUUGACUUCUGUUUAAGCUCAAUAGAAAACAAGUAGUGAAUGCGACCAAGAAAGUAGUGCAGCAGAACUAUAUGUAUACUUUCAAACGUGGAUGAUUUGAAGAAAAAGAUGAUGUUCAAAAAAACUUGAAAUGAUGAUAUUCAAUGUUAGCUUACAUCAAUGGAACAUAAUCUUAAACGUGUACGAAAAAAAACAUCAGUAUUAUUACGCAUUAGGCCAAAGAAAAAUUGGUGUCCAUGUACCUAUGUACAAUAAAUUGAAUAUAAAUAAGGUGUAAUUUUGUAGCAGAGAUGCUGAAAAGUUCACAUAUAAGUCAACCGAAGGGAAAUAAAAGUAUUUUUUGUAUAUAUUUAGCAAUUUAUUGAAUAGCAUUUUAUGCCACCGCUGAAUUUUUUACGUCGAUAACUCAAGAGGAAACAAUGGAUACAAUAUGUGGCCUUAAAAAGGCAUACUAUUUUUGCAAAAAAAUGGUUCGCAAAUUAUCAUAGAAUCAAAGCGUUUGAAACAAAAAUAUUAUUAUGUAAAUAAUAAAAAACAAUAUUUCAGUACAAGUCUUUCAAAAGUAUUUUGGAAUUAACGGAUGCAAUUUGGUAAAACUUGCUUUAGACUAAUAAGUAGGGCACACCGUUCGGACCAUCGACAGAAUAACGUUCGUGUUUUUCAGAUUUCAAGACAUAGAUUUGCUGAUGAAUAACAUCGCAAAGAUCUUGGUGUAUUGUCUUCAUACAUGGCCACAACAACCCUUCAAAUAGACCAGACUAAACUUAAUUAACUUGACCACCAUAUUAACAUUCAAGGUAAAUUUUAAGAAGUUCGGCCUACAUGUCAGAUUUAUGAAUGUGAGCAGCAGGAUAUCGAUUUUAAGGAUGCUUUAGGGUCAAUGACAAUGAAAUCAUGAGAGAUAAAGGCUAAAAUGUGAGACUGUCAAUCUGACUAACCUUGAAGUGAAUAAAUGGAAAAAUGUUUCUUUCAAAGGCAUGGGCAUUUAAGGAAGAGGAAACAGAGGCGCUUAUAUGAUAGAACAGAUAAAGCAGGAGCGAUAAGGAAAGAUACAUGUAGAUGCGUCUUCAUGUCGGAAACACUAAAGAAAUAGAAAUAUUGUGGUUUUAUAAAACUUAAAAGAAAUUGGAAUACCAGGAGACUGCCUGCCCUUUGCAAUGUUGGAUAAUGAGUUCUUAGAUGUGAUGUCGAAAGUCUCAUGAAUAUAGUACCAUGACUUAAUCUAAUUAGAAAAAGAAAUGACAUUGAGGAGAAAACUAGUCACCAGUCUUUCACCAAUAACUAGAGAUAACUUUCCAAUAUUUGAAAUAUCAUAAUAUGUAUAGAACUUUAAUGAGCCACCAGUUUUUCACCAGGAAAAUAAGAUCACUUAACUAUUUUUAGCUCACCUGUCACAAAGUUACAGGGUGAGCUUUUUUGAUCGCUUUUCGUCCGGCGUCCGUCCGUAAACUUUUACUUUAAAUGAAAUGUCCUCAUAAACCACUUAGCCAAUUUCAUCCAAACUUUACAGGAAUGUUCCUUUGGUGGUCACCUUUAAAUACUGUUCAUAGAAUUUAAUUUCAUGCAGAACGCUGGUUGCCAUGGCAACCAAAAGAAAAUGACAUAAAGUAUCUUCUUUUAAAGAACUCAAAGAGCUAGAGCUUAGACAAAGUAUCUUCUUUUAAAGAACCCAAAGAGCUAGAGCUUAGACAUUUGGCAUGAAACAUCUUCUAGUGAGUGUCUACCAAGUUUGUUCAAAUAAAAGCCCUGGGGUCAAAAUUGCCCCGGCCCCAAGGGGUCAUUGAUUUUCCCUAUAUGCAUAUAGUAAAAACUUAAAAAUCUUCUUUUAAAGAACCAAAAUAGCUAGAGUUUAGAUAUUAAGCAUGAAACAUCUUCUGGUAAGUGUCUACAAAGUUUGUUCAAAUAAAAGCCCUGGGGUCAAAAUUGGCCCCGCACCGGGGGUCAUUGAUUUUCCUUAUAUGUGUAUAGCAAAAACUUAAAAACCUUCUUUGAAAAAACCCAAAUAGCUAGAGUUUAGAUAUUAAGCAUGAAACAUCUUCUGGUAAGUGUGUACAAAGUUUGUUCAAAUAAAAGCCCUGGGGUCAAAAUUGGCCCCGCACCGGGGGUCAUUGAUUUUCCUUAUAUGUGUAUAGCAAAAACUUAAAAACCUUCUUUGAAAAAACCCAAAUAGCUAGAGUUUAGAUAUUAAGCAUGAAACAUCUUCUGGUAAGUGUGUACAAAGUUUGUUCAAAUAAAAGCCCUGGGGUCAAAACUGGCCCCGCCCCAGGGGUUUCAUUGUUUUUAACUAUAUGUGUAUAGUAAAAACUUAAAAAAUCUUCUUUUAAAAAACCCAAUGAGCUAGAGCCUAGAUGUUUAGCAUGAAACAUCUUCUUAUGGUGUCUACCAAGUUUGGUCAAAUUUAAGCCCUUGGAUAAAAAUUGGCCAUGCCGGGGGUGGGUGGUGGUGCAGAGGUCUUUGUUUUACAUUAUAUUUGGGUAGAAAAAACUUAACAUCAUGAAACAUCUUCUAAUGGGUGUCAUACAAGUUUGUUCAAAUAAAAACCCUGGGGUUUAAACUGGCCCCGCUCCAGGGGCCUAUAUACACAUGGCCCUCUUGUUGAAAUAUGUAUGAACAAAUCUUUAUCAACUUCAAGGUUUUAUCGAAGGAAUUUGAAUUACUUGGCACAAAUGAUUGUUAUAAUAAGACGAUGAGUCAUGUGCAACAACCAGACCCCUACCUCCAGGGUCAAGGUCGCACUUGCUCAUUCAAGGUCAACAUUGUCUAUUUGAGAGUAUAUCUCAUGUCUGGUCUAUAACUUUCCUAUCUCUAAAGGGAUUUUGUAAAUACUUGCCACAAUUGCUCACAAUAAUGAGAAGAUGUGUCAUGCGCAACAACAGGUCACCUGCCUCCAAGGUUAAGGUCACACUUGGAGGCCAAAUAUUAACAUAACCUGUUACAGGGUAUAUUUCGUGUCUGGUCCAUAACUUUGUCAUUUAUUGAAGGAAUUUGAAAUAACUUGGCACAAAUGUUUGUUAUAAUAAGAUGAUGAUGCGCAAUAACCAGACCCCUACCAUUAGGGUCAAGGUCACACUUGCUCAUUCAAGGUCAACAUUGUCUAUUUGAGGGUAUAUCUCGUGUCCAGUCUAUACCUUUCUUAUCUUGAAGGGAUUUUGUAAAUACUUGCCACAGUUGUUCACAACAAUGAGAUGAUGUGUCAUGCGCAACAAUCGGUCACCAACCUACAAGGUCAAGGUCACACUUGGAGGUCUAAGAAUAACAUAGCCUGUUAUAGGGUAUUUUUUUUGUCCGUUCCAUAACUUUUUCCUAUAUCAAAGGAUUUUGAAAACACUUGGCACAAAUAUUCACUAUAAUAAGACAAUGUGUCAUGCGCAACACCUGCAUCCCUACCUCCAAGGACAGGGUCACAUUUCGAGGUAAAAAAUUAACAUAGUCUUUUAAAGGGUAUAUAUUGUGUCCAAUGUAGAACUUCUUCAUAGUUCAAGGAAUUUUGAAAUAACACAUAGGCACAAAUAGUCACAAUAAUAAGACUAUAUGUCAAGUACAACACCUGCACCCCUGCCUCCAAGGUCAAGGUCACACUUAGAGGUAUAAAGGUAACAAAGUCUGUUAUAUGGUAUAUUUUAUGCACCGUCCAUAACUUCUUCAUAGAUGAAGGGAUUUUGAAAAUACUUGGCACAAAUAGUUACAAUGAUAAGAUGAUAUGUCAUGCACAACACCUGCACCCCUACCUCCAAGGUCAAGGUCACACUUACAGGUCAAAGCAGGGAUUUUUUCCAGGAUUUUGGGAACAUAACCCAUACCCAUGGAACUGGGAAUUUCAGCAAUAUUUUCUUAAAAAUUGGGAAAAAAUACAUGACUGAAAUUUUGUAGUGAUUAAAUGUAUGCAAGCAAUCACUGCCUAGAAUGGCUUCUUCAAACAUUUUAACACUAUAACAGUGAAGAAGCCCUUAUUUUCAAAGAUUUUAGAAUUCUUUAUUCAAUAUCUAUAUUUUUGUAACUUUCAAUUGGGAAUAUUUUCCUGUGGAUUGGGAAAAUAAUAUGUCCCAAUAACGGCUAUAAAAUGAGCCAAAAAAUCCCUGCAAAGCUUAACAUGAUAGAUUUUGAAAUUCAGUAUUUCAUUUUAUUUCUUUAAUAAAUAUAUUGUUGCAUUUGCAGAUCUAGCAUUGAUCAUAAUUUUGGACUGAAAAUCAUUAGAUCCCUGGCUCAAUCUUUUGAAAUAGCACAAUUUUUUGUUUCAUAUAAAACAUCCCUGAGGCAGGGGACGUUAGUAACUCUGUCGAUCAAAAGUCAAAUAAUAAAUUAAAACAUGAGAGUAUAUUUCUAUAUACAUGGCUGGAUUUUCAUAACAUUUAUCACAAAUCAUGAAAUGUUCAUUUAUGUAUACAUCUUUCUCCCUAAUCUGAAGCUUUAAGGUUCAGUUCUGAAUGAAGGCAACAGGCUCGAUAUGCUGCCAGUGGGCUUGUCUAAUUAUGUACAUAUUUUGAUUACUCACUCAAUAUAAGCAUUGUUCUUAACGCAGGCAUUCAAGUCCUGUGGGCACAUUUCUACUUUUGACUAUAUUUUGUUGUAUAAUAUCAGUCUUGUAUGUAAAAAAUCCUUAAAACAGCACCUCCUAUACCACUGGCCGUUUGCAUUAAAGCUUCUUUCAUUCAGAUUGUUAUAACUUGUGUCACCUCAAUAUGUACCAAUAAUUUAAAGGGACUCACUCCAUUGAGGUUUAAAAGCCUAAAACAUAACAUUUGAAUUUCUACAGAAAUGAGCCGGGGCACUUGAUACAGAAAUAUAUGCACAGAUAGUGAAGAAAUAUACUUUGAAAUAAAUUGAACAUCGAUUUUUUAUGCUUUUCUCAGCCUGAUCUUCGUGAAAUGUGUUUAAACGCUUUUAUUUUGGGUCAUUUUUUUACAAAUUGAAUAAUUAUUCUUGAAAAACGAAGUGCGCAAAUGAUCUGAAAUUUUUCUCAAAGAUAAGUGGUCAAAAUAUACAUCAAGUGGUACAUUAAUCUAGAAAAUGAAUUUCAGUCUCAUCAUGUCAAAAAACUUCAGUGGAGUUCCUUUCACACAGUUUAUCUGACAAACUAAAUUUCAUUAUCUCCAUAUAUUUAAGCAUUUAUUUUUUAUAUCACAUAUAUUUUUACUUUUAUGCAAGUUUUGACAAUAAAAGUUUACUUUAAAUCAUUGUUCUUUGUUUUGCUAUGACUUUAACAGCAUGUACAUCAAUUUCAUACUGAAACACAAUUAGUCAUGUUUGAACUUACACAUGUAAGCACAUGAUGAGCUUUUCUUGUCCUUGAGUUAAAAUAAACAGUCU
Ruditapes philippinarum (Manila clam) is the source of this 5384-nucleotide long non-coding RNA. RefSeq lists it as uncharacterized. The transcript has 4 exons. NCBI's taxonomy places the organism in Eukaryota, Metazoa, Mollusca, Bivalvia, Venerida, Veneridae. The record is from RefSeq and is a predicted model, not a curated record.